UGAUAUACUUUGAAUUUUCAGGUAGAAAGAUGAAAUGGAAUGAAGGUGAGAGUGGCCCUGGGGAUAUUUGAAGAAACCAAAUGCACAUUUUAGGAUUGAAUGCCUGCGGCACAAAUAAGGAUUUUUUCUUCCCAAGAAAGCUCCGUUUUGGCCAUCUCAUGCAUUUUUCUAGUCAAGAUCGCACAUGCAUUAAUCCCAAGUGGGCAAAGGUCAGUCUUAAACUGAAACUACUAUUUUACUAUGCAAAAAUGUGUAAGAGAUUGUUAUAUUUUAUUUCCUCCAUUUUAAAAUGCUCUUAUCUUUCAUCUGUGGUUCCUAGUCAGUAAUUGACAGUUAAGAGGAGGGAAGAGGUCAGACAACGUGACAGAGGGAGCACUUGUAAUAAAACACAGAUACAGGAAAUUGUGCUAAUAGGU
This 416-nucleotide long non-coding RNA is filed under the name Vulpes vulpes (red fox). RNAcentral's name for it is "lncRNA (ENSVVUG00000029153.1)". Lineage: Eukaryota; Metazoa; Chordata; Mammalia; Carnivora; Canidae. The record is from RNAcentral.